CCUACGGGUGGCUGCAGUGAGGAAUAUUGGUCAAUGGCCGUAAGGCUGAACCAGCCAAGUCGCGUGAAGGAAGAAGGAUCUAUGGUUUGUAAACUUCUUUUAUAGGGGAAUAAAGGUAUCCACGUGUGGAUAUUUGCAUGUACCCUAUGAAUAAGCAUCGGCUAACUCCGUGCCAGCAGCCGCGGUAAUACGGAGGAUGCGAGCGUUAUCCGGAUUUAUUGGGUUUAAAGGGUGCGUAGGCGGGACCUUAAGUCAGCGGUAAAAUUGCGGUGCUCAACGGCGUAGAGCCGUUGAUACUGGGGUUCUUGAGUGAGCGAGAGGUAGGCGGAAUGCGUGGUGUAGCGGUGAAAUGCAUAGAUAUCACGCAGAACCCCGAUUGCGAAGGCAGCAUACCGGAGCUCAACUGACGCUGAGGCACGAAAGUGCGGGUAUCGAACAGGAUUAGAUACCCCUGUAGUC
RNAcentral lists this ribosomal RNA (459 nucleotides) under uncultured bacterium. RNAcentral describes it as "partial 16S ribosomal RNA". It matches the Rfam family "Bacterial small subunit ribosomal RNA", at positions 338 to 795 of the family's 1533-position model. The record is from RNAcentral.